This 410-nucleotide long non-coding RNA is filed under the name Homo sapiens (human). Its description in RNAcentral is "LHRI_LNC1537.1". Lineage: Eukaryota; Metazoa; Chordata; Mammalia; Primates; Hominidae. The record is from RNAcentral.
CAGAGUUUUAGCUCGGCAAGCAGAGAUGGAGAGCUGGCGGUACCCGGUCUUUACCCAUUCUGGAAGGACCACUGGCUGGAGCUGAGAGGCAGUGGCUUCUCUGACAUGGGGCAUACACUCCAUUUUGCUACCUUCUCUGCAACAACAGAGAGUGUCUUCCUGGACCCCAAACUGAGAAUCAGAUGCCUUUAAUCAACGGGCUUGCUUCCUCCCACUCCCCAGACAACCUGAUUCAUGAGAUGCCUGCCUGUUCCCCGUGGGCAUCUGAGUUUGCAGCCCAUGCUCAGUAGAGUUUAUUCGGCAAUCCUUUUCCUGACCUAUAGCAGACUCCUAGCCCACCACAUUUCUAAUGCAGCUGUUGCAAGUCUUGUCCAGACCUUUCAGACCCUUGAUCUCUCCGGGAGAUUGUG